This 253-nucleotide ribosomal RNA is filed under the name uncultured bacterium. RNAcentral describes it as "partial 16S ribosomal RNA". It matches the Rfam family "Bacterial small subunit ribosomal RNA", at positions 524 to 776 of the family's 1533-position model. The record is from RNAcentral.
UACAGAGACUGCAAGCGUUGUUCGGAUUCAUUGGGCGUAAAGGGUCCGUAGGCGGUCGGUUAAGUCGGAUGUGAAAUCUCGUGGCCUAACCACGAGCGGUCAUUCGAAACUAAUCGGCUAGAGGGCUGGAGAGGAGACUGGAAUUGUCGGUGUAGCGGUGAAAUGCGUUGAUAUCGGAAGGAACGCCGGUGGCGAAAGCGCACGACUGGAUCUCUUCUGACGCUGAGGCGCGAAAGCCAGGGGAGCAAACGGG